RNAcentral lists this transfer RNA (69 nucleotides) under Plecotus macrobullaris. RNAcentral describes it as "tRNA-Ser". It matches the Rfam family "tRNA". Rfam says of the family: Transfer RNA (tRNA) molecules are approximately 80 nucleotides in length. The record is from RNAcentral. Lineage: Eukaryota; Metazoa; Chordata; Mammalia; Chiroptera; Vespertilionidae.
GAGAGAGACAUAAUGGUUAUGGUAUCGGCUUGAAACCGAUUUCUGGGGGUUCGAAACCUUCCUUUCUUG